Long non-coding RNA from Vicia villosa (hairy vetch), 800 nucleotides. RefSeq lists it as uncharacterized. The transcript is spliced from 3 exons. Lineage: Eukaryota; Viridiplantae; Streptophyta; Magnoliopsida; Fabales; Fabaceae. The record is from RefSeq and is a predicted model, not a curated record.
AUACUUGCUAGCUACAUUUAAUCCUUUGAUUGGCCUCUAAAGGCAAAAAUGAUGGGAAUGAAAGUAAUUGAGAUGUGAAUGACAAUAGCUUACAAUAGCUUACUGUCACUUGGUUCAUAAUGUUGAUGGAAUUCUAUUUUGGAGUGUUUGUGGUUUGGAGUGCUAAUAUUGACAUGGUUUGUUUAUGCAUAACAACAACUUAGUGCUUUUUGAUGCAUACUAUUCUGCUUCUGUAUUUUAAGCAGGCUCACAGCUCUACAACUAAGAAAGGAGAGGUUGCAACUAUUUAAGGCACAUCUUUUGGAACAAGGUUCGUUUGACUCUGCUGUUGAAGGAUGUGAUGGUGUCUUUUAUAUUGCUUCACCAGUUCGUGUUGUCGUAAAUGACCCACAGGUUGAGUUGAUUGUUCCACUUAUAUCGCAAUAGUCCUGGUUGCCCCACAUCUACAGGUUGUUACAGAUUCAGCUUUGGCUGUGAUAAUUCUACUGGCACUUAUAAGGUAAUGGUAUCCUGUUACUUUCGUCAUCAACUAAGAAGCAAUGUGAAAAUUUUAAGCUUGGGUGAUAAUGUUUGGAGGGAUAUUGAAAGUUUCCCUGUUGAACCUAUAUAUGCGGAUUAUGCUUGUGGAACUGAUUAUGAUGAUGUGUAUUUCAAAAGCAUUAUCACUUGGUUGGGUAUUUGAAAUAAACUUUGGUUUGUAUUAGUUAUAAUUUCAUAAAGAAAUUUGUCAAGUACUUGGGGACAUAAGAUUUUGAUGUACUGAUAAACCACAUAUUUUUAUAAGAUUAUGUUUAAUUGGA